Molecule: small nucleolar RNA, 101 nt
Filed under: Erinaceus europaeus (western European hedgehog)
Lineage: Eukaryota; Metazoa; Chordata; Mammalia; Eulipotyphla; Erinaceidae
Description: Small nucleolar RNA U3
Rfam family: Small nucleolar RNA U3 (bases 1-41)
Source: Rfam by way of RNAcentral
AAGACUAUACUAUCAGGGAUCAUUUCUAUAGUAUGUUACUAUAUGCAAGUACCUGGGCUCAAGGACCUGGGUUCAAACCUCAUUCCCCACCUCCAAGGGAA